This 492-nucleotide ribosomal RNA is filed under the name uncultured bacterium. Its description in RNAcentral is "partial 16S ribosomal RNA". It matches the Rfam family "Bacterial small subunit ribosomal RNA", at positions 29 to 507 of the family's 1533-position model. The record is from RNAcentral.
AGUGAACGCUGGCGGUAGGCCUAACACAUGCAAGUCGAACGGCAGCACAGUAAGAGCUUGCUCUUACGGGUGGCGAGUGGCGGACGGGUGAGGAAUACAUCGGAAUCUACUUUUUCGUGGGGGAUAACGUAGGGAAACUUACGCUAAUACCGCAUACGACCUACGGGUGAAAGCAGGGGAUCUUCGGACCUUGCGCGAUUGAAUGAGCCGAUGUCGGAUUAGCUAGUUGGCGGGGUAAAGGCCCACCAAGGCGGCGAUCCGUAGCUGGUCUGAGAGGAUGAUCAGCCACACUGGAACUGAGACACGGUCCAGACGCCUACGGGAGGCAGCAGUGGGGAAUAUUGGACAAUGGGCGCAAGCCUGAUCCAGCCAUACCGCGUGGGUGAAGAAGGCCUUCGGGUUGUAAAGCCCUUUUGUUGGGGAAGAAAAGCAGCAGGUUAAUACCCCGCUGUUCUGACGGUACCCAAAGAAUAAGCACCGGCUAACUUCGUG